Molecule: ribosomal RNA, 253 nt
Filed under: uncultured bacterium
Lineage: Bacteria
Description: partial 16S ribosomal RNA
Rfam family: Bacterial small subunit ribosomal RNA
Source: RNAcentral
UACGUAGGGGGCAAGCGUUGUCCGGAUUUAUUGGGCGUAAAGAGCGUGUAGGCGGUUUGGUAGGUCCGUUGUGAAAACUCGAGGCUCAACCUCGAGACGCCGAUGGAAACCAUCAGACUAGAGUCCGGAAGAGGAGAGUGGAAUUCCUGGUGUAGCGGUGAAAUGCGCAGAUAUCAGGAGGAACACCGGUGGCGAAGGCGGCUCACUGGCCCGAUACUGACGCUGAGGUGCGAAAGCGUGGGGAGCAAACAGG